UACGUAGGGAGCAAGCGUUGUCCGGAAUCAUUGGGCGUAAAGCGCGCGUAGGCGGCCUCAUAAGUCCGUUGUGAAAGUCAAAGGCUCAACCUUUGAAAGCCGAUGGAUACUGUGAGGCUAGAGUCCGGAAGAGGCGAGUGGAAUUCCUGGUGUAGCGGUGGAAUGCGCAGAUAUCAGGAGGAACACCCGUGGCGAAGGCGGCUCUCUGGGACGGUACUGACGCUGAGACGCGAAAGCGUGGGGAGCGAACAGG
This 253-nucleotide ribosomal RNA is filed under the name uncultured bacterium. Its description in RNAcentral is "partial 16S ribosomal RNA". It matches the Rfam family "Bacterial small subunit ribosomal RNA", at positions 524 to 776 of the family's 1533-position model. The record is from RNAcentral.